This 119-nucleotide ribosomal RNA is filed under the name Pteropus alecto (black flying fox). The record is from RNAcentral. Lineage: Eukaryota; Metazoa; Chordata; Mammalia; Chiroptera; Pteropodidae.
CACUAUGGCUAUGCCACCCUGAAUGUGCCCGAUCCAGUCUGAUCUCAGAAGUUAAGCAGGGUUGGGCCUGGUUAGUACUUGGAUGAGAGACCACCUAGGAAGACCAGGUGCUAUAGGUG